This 74-nucleotide transfer RNA is filed under the name Psychromonas ingrahamii 37. It matches the Rfam family "tRNA". From Rfam's summary of the family: Transfer RNA (tRNA) molecules are approximately 80 nucleotides in length. Their secondary structure includes four short double-helical elements and three loops (D, anti-codon, and T loops). Further hydrogen bonds mediate the characteristic L-shaped molecular structure. tRNAs have two regions of fundamental functional importance: the anti-codon, which is responsible for specific mRNA codon recognition, and the 3' end, to which the tRNAs corresponding amino acid is attached (by aminoacyl-tRNA synthetases). tRNAs cope with the degeneracy of the genetic code in two manners: having more than one tRNA (with a specific anti-codon) for a particular amino acid; and 'wobble' base-pairing, i.e. permitting non-standard base-pairing at the 3rd anti-codon position. The record is from Rfam by way of RNAcentral. Lineage: Bacteria; Pseudomonadati; Pseudomonadota; Gammaproteobacteria; Alteromonadales; Psychromonadaceae.
GUCCUGUUAGCUCAAUUGGAUAGAGCAACGCCCUUCUAAGGCGUAGGUUUUGGGUUCAAAUCCCGAACGGGACA